UUUCGCAAGAGGAGCUGUGAAGCAAAGUUUCCGGGAAGAGUUCAACCUGGGAAUCCCGCACAGCUGGAAGGACCAGAACUUAUUGUGCAGCUCUGGCUCGCAGAUGGACGUUCUCCGCUGCCAAGCGGGGUUUGAAGACUCACCGGUGAGAAAGGUAUGAGUCUAGGGAAGAAGACAUCCAGCUGUGUCUCCAAGAAGAACGAACCCUCAUGAUUGGUGAACUUGACAGCUGGGUGUGUUAGGGUGCCCUGGACUGGGAGAAGUGGGCGUUCUGU
Molecule: long non-coding RNA, 275 nt
Organism: Mus musculus (house mouse)
Lineage: Eukaryota; Metazoa; Chordata; Mammalia; Rodentia; Muridae
Product: predicted gene, 30835
Exons: 3
Source: RefSeq, a predicted model, not a curated record